Molecule: ribosomal RNA, 351 nt
Filed under: uncultured bacterium
Lineage: Bacteria
Description: partial 16S ribosomal RNA
Rfam family: Bacterial small subunit ribosomal RNA
Source: RNAcentral
CCUACGGGAGGCAGCAGUGGGGAAUAUUGGGCAAUGGGCGCAAGCCUGACCCAGCAACGCCGCGUGAAGGAAGAAGGCUUUCGGGUUGUAAACUUCUUUUGUCAGGGAAGAGUAGAAGACGGUACCUGACGAAUAAGCCACGGCUAACUACGUGCCAGCAGCCGCGGUAAUACGUAGGUGGCAAGCGUUGUCCGGAUUUACUGGGUGUAAAGGGCGUGUAGCCGGGUGGACAAGUCAGAUGUGAAAUCCUGCGGCUUAAGCGCAGAACUGCGGUUGAAACUGUGGAGCUUGAGUGGGGGCGAGGGAGGCGGAAUGCGGGGUGUAGCGGUGAAAUGCGGAGAUAUUAGGAGG